This 24-nucleotide non-coding RNA is filed under the name Arabidopsis thaliana (thale cress). Lineage: Eukaryota; Viridiplantae; Streptophyta; Magnoliopsida; Brassicales; Brassicaceae. The record is from RNAcentral.
AGGUGACUGAAUAAAGUUUGCUCC